Molecule: long non-coding RNA, 311 nt
Filed under: Prunus persica (peach)
Lineage: Eukaryota; Viridiplantae; Streptophyta; Magnoliopsida; Rosales; Rosaceae
Description: long non-coding RNA (PPER_LNC004918)
Source: RNAcentral
GAGGCUGAUAUCUUCCAGAUACUGAUGGUAGGGAAUGAGCUUUUGAUCUUUGGUUUUCCAAUCACCAGUUGUCUGAAAGAUGAUAAGUGACGAAUCUCCAUAUACAUCAAUCUCAUUGAUUCUCAACUUGAGGGCGCACUCACUGGUUGUUUGUUGAUAGAUGAUACUUAAGCUGCAAAACUUCACUAAUACUAUAAUUAUUACUAGCUCUUUGGCACAUGCUCCUCCGAUUGAAUUUUCUUUUUUUGUUGAGAUAUAUAAAUUUUUUUUAAUAUUCAAAAGGUUUGAAGGUGGUUGUUCUUUUUUUAUUU